ACCACAAUCCUUGCUUUUUCCAAUUCUUUCGUUGUUCUUUGGAGGCGAUUCUAAAUAGAUGGCGGAAUUGCAUGUCUUAUGGUCCAGCUGCAUCAUUAAUCUAACAUCCACAUGAAGAUAAUAUUUUUGUGGAUCAAAGUUUUUUUGGUGGAACUCUUUGCCUCAAUUUAUAUUUGGGAUGAUUUUCAUUUACAUAGGAAUAGAUUUGGUUUAUCCAAG
Molecule: long non-coding RNA, 219 nt
Filed under: Trifolium pratense (red clover)
Lineage: Eukaryota; Viridiplantae; Streptophyta; Magnoliopsida; Fabales; Fabaceae
Description: long non-coding RNA (TPRA_LNC000152)
Source: RNAcentral